This 18484-nucleotide long non-coding RNA is filed under the name Brassica napus (rape). Its description in RNAcentral is "long non-coding RNA (BNAP_LNC022275)". Lineage: Eukaryota; Viridiplantae; Streptophyta; Magnoliopsida; Brassicales; Brassicaceae. The record is from RNAcentral.
UAGAUGGGUAUGGUUUUAGAAAUUUGAUUAAUAGGUUAUAAUUUUAAAAUAAAUUUUCCAAAACCUGCUAUUUUUGGAAAAUUAUAAUUUUGUAGAGAAAUAUUGUAGAUUUGAGAUUUUGAUUUAGAAAUUAGGAUAACAAGAGUUUUUGUUGAUAGAUGAGUAUGCUUUUAGAAUUUUUGAUCUAUAAGUUAUAAUUUUUAAAUAAAUUUUCCAAAACUUGUUAUUUUUUAACAAUUAUCAUUUUGUUGAGACAUCUUGUAUAUUUGGGAUUGUGAUUUAUAAAUUAGAAUAACAAUAGUUUAUGUAGAUAGAUGAGUACGCUUUUAUAAUUUUUAAUAAAUAGUCUAUAAUUUUUAAAUAAAUUUUCCAACACCUCCUAUUUUUGGAAAGUUAUCAUUUUGUCGAAAAAUAUUGUAGAUUUGGGAUUGUGACUUAGAAACUAGGAUAACAAGAGUUUUUUUUUUAUAGAUGGGUAUGCUUUUAGAAUUUUUGAUCAAUGGGCUAUAUUUUUAAAAUAAAAUUUUAAAAACUGCUAUAUUUGGAAAGUUAUCAUUUUGUAGAAAAAUAUUGUAGAUUUGGGAUUGUGAUUUAGAAAUUAGGAUAACAAGAGUUUUUGUUGAUAGAUGGGUAUGUUUUUAGAAUUUUUGAUCAAUAGGUUAUAAUUAUUAAAUACAUUUUCAAAACCUGCUAUUUUUAGAAAGUUAUCAUUUUGAAGGGAAAUAUUGUAGAUUUGUUAUUGUGAUUUAGAAAUUAGGAUUACAAGAGUUUUUGUUGAUAGAUGGGUAUAAUUUUAGAAAUUUUUGAUCAAUAAGUUAUAAUUUUUAGAUAAAUUUUCCAAAACCUGUAAUUUUUAGAAAGUUAUCAUUUUGUAGUGAAAUAUUGUUGAUUUGGGAUUAUGAUUUAGAAAUUAGGAUAACAAGAGUUUUUGUUGAUAGAUGGGCAUGCAUUUAGAAUUUUUGAUCCAUUGGUAAUAUUUUUAAAAUAAAUUUUUAAAAACUGCUAUAUUUGGAAAGUUGUCGUCGUGUAAGUAAAUAUUUUAAAUUUGAGAUUGUGAUUUAGAAAUUAGGAUAAUAAUAGUUUUUGUUGAUAUAUAUGCUUUUAGAGUUAUUGAUCAAUAUGUUAUAUCUUGUUAUAUCUUGGAGAUAUAUUAUCUAAAACCAUCUAUUUUAGGAAAGUUAUCAGUUUUUUAGAGAAAUAUUGUAAAUUUGAGAUUGUGAUUUAAAAACUAGGAUAACAAGAGUUAUUGUUGAUAGAUGGGUAUGCUUUCAGAAUUUUUGAUCAACAUGUUAUAAUUAUUUUAAAAAAUUCCAAAACCAUCUAUUUUUGUAAAGUUGUCAUUUUGUAGAUAAAUAUUGCAGAUUUAGAAUUGUGAUUUAGAAAUUAGGAUAACAAGAGUUUUUGUUGAUAGAUGUGCAUGCUUUAGAAAUUUUGAUCAAUAUGAUAUAUCUUGUAGAUAUAUUAUCUAAAACCUGUUAUUUUAGGAAAAUUAUCAUUUUUGUAGAGAAAUAUUUUAGAUCUGGGAUUGUGAUUUAAAAAUUAGUAUAACAAGAGUUUUUGUUGAUAGAUGGGUAUGCUUUUAAAAUUUUUGAUCAAUAGGUUAAAUCUUUAAGAUAAAUUUUCUAAAAUCUGUUAUUUUAGAAAAGUUAUAAUUUUUUUAAAGAAAUAUUGUAGAUCUGAGAUUGUGAUUUAGAAAUAAGGAUAACAAGAAUUUUUAUUGACAUAUGGGCAUGCUUUUAAUUUUUUUGAUCAAUAUGUUAUAAUUUUUAAAUAAAUUUUCCAAAAUCUGCUAUUUUUGGAAAGUUGUCAUGCUAUUGAUAAAUAUUGUAGAUUUGAAAUUGUGAUUUAGAAAUUAUGAUAACAAAAGUUUUUGUCGAUAGAUGGGUAUGCUUUUAGAGUUUUUGAUCAAUAGGUUAUAAUUUUUAAAUGAAUUUUCCAAAACCUGCUAUUUUUAGAAAGUAGUCAUGUUGUUGAUAAAUAUUGUUGAUUUGUAAUUGUGAUUUAGAAAUUAAGAUAACAAGAGUUUUUGUUGAUAGGUGGGCAUGCUUUUAGAAUUUUUAAUCAAUAGAUUAUAUUUUAAAAUAAAAUUUUAAGAACUGUUAUAUUUGGAAAGUUAUCAUUUUGUUAAUAAAUAUUGUAGAUUUGGGAUUGUGAUUUAGAAAUUAGGAUAACAAAUGUUCUGGUUUAUUGAUUGGUAUACUUUUAGAAAUUUUGAUCAAUAGGUUUUAUCUUGUAGAUAUAUUAUCUAAAACCUGCUAUUUUAGGAAAGUUAUCAUUUUUGUACAGAAGUAUUUUAGAUCUAGGAUUGUGAUUUAAAAAUUAGGAUACCGAGAGUUUUUGUUGAUAGAGGGGUAUGAUUUUAGAAUUUUUGAUCAAUAAGUUAUAAUGUUUAAAUAAGUUUUCCAAAACCUACUAUUUUGGGAAAGUUAUCAUUUUUCUAGAGAAAUAUUGUAGAUUUAGAAUUGUGAUUUAGAAAUUAGGAUAACAAGAGUUUUUGUUGAUAGAUGGGUAUGAUUUUUUAAUUUUUUAUCAAUAGGUUUUAAUUUUUAAAUAAAUUCUUCAAAACCUGCUAUUUUUGGAAAAUUAUCACAUUUGUAGAGAAAUACUAUAUAAUUGAGAUUGUGAUUUAGAAAUAUGAUAACAAGAGCUUUUGUUGAUAUAUGGGUAUGCUUUUAGAAUUUUUGAUCAUUAGAUUAUAUUUUAUAAAUAAAAUUUCUAAGAACUGCUAUUUUUGGAAAGUUAUCAUUUUUGUAAAGAAAUAUUGUAGAUUUGGGAUUGUGAUUUAGAGAUUAGGGUAACAUGAGUUUUUGGUUAUAGAUGGGUGUAUGGUUUUAGAAUAUUUGAUCAAUUUUUAGAUAAAUUUUCCAAAACCUGCCUUUUUUAGAAAGUUAUCAAUUUGAUAGAAAUAUUAUAGAUCUGUGAUUUUGAUUUAGAAAUUAGAAUAACAAGAAUUUGUUUUGAUAGAAGGGUAUGUUUUUAGAAUUUUUAUCAAUGGGUUAUAAUUUUUAAAUAAAUUUUCCAAAACCUUCUAUUUUGGAAAGUGAUCAUUUUCUAGAGAAAUAUUGUGGAUUUUGGAUUGUGAUUUAAAAAUUAGGAUAACAAGAGUUUAUUUAGAUAGAUUAGUACGCUUUUAAAUUUUUUGAUAAAUAGGCCAUAAUUUUUAAAUAAAUUUUCCCACCCUGCUUUUUUUGGAAAGUUAUCAUUUUGUAGAGAAAUAUUGUAGAUUUGAGAUUGUAAUUUAGAAACUAGGAUAACAAUAGUUUAUGAUAAUCGAUGGGUAUGCUUUUAGAUUUUUUGUUCAAUAGGCUAUAUUUUAAAAAUGAAAUUUUAAAAACUUUUAUAUUUGGAAAGUUAUCAUUUUGUUGAUUAGAGAUUGUGAUUUAGAAAUUAGGAUAAUAAGAGUUUUUGUUGAUAGAUGGAUAUGCUUUUAGAAUUUUCGAUCAAUUGGUUAUACUUUUAAAUAAAUUUUCCAAAACCUGCUAUUUUUGGAAAGUUUUCAUUUUUUAGGAAAAUAUUGUAGAUUUGGGAUUGUGAUUUAGAAAUUAGGAUAACAAGAGUUUUUGUUGAUAUAUGAGAAUGCUUUUAGAGUUUUUGAUCAAUAGGAUAUAAUUUUUAAAUAAUCUUUUCAAAACCUGCUAUUUUUAGAAAGUUGUCAUGUUGUUGAUAGAUAUUGUUGAUUUGGGAUUGUGAUUUAGAAAUUAGGACAACAAGAGUUUUUGUUGAUUGAUAGGUAUGCUUUUAAAAUUUUCGAUCUAUGUUUUAACAACAAUUUUUUAUCAAUAAGUUAUAAUGUUUAAAUAAAAUUUCCAAAACCUACUAUUUCAGGAAAGUUAUCAUUUUUCUAGAGUAAUAUUAUGCGAUAGUGAUUUAGAAGUUAUGAUAACAAGAGAUUUUAUUGAUAGAUGGGUAUGCUCUUAGAAUUAUUGAUUAAUAGGUUAUAUUUUUAAAAACUGCUAUAUUUGGUAAGUUAUCAAUUUGUAGGAAAAUAUUGUAGAUUUAGGAUUGUGAUUUAGAAAUUAGGAUAACAAGUGGUUUUGUUGAUAGAAGGGUAUGCUUUUAGAAUUUUUUUAUCAAUAAGAUUUAAUUUUUAAAUAAAUAUUCCAAAACCUGCAAUUUUUAGAAAGUUAUCAUUUUGUAGAAAAAUAUUGUAGAUUUGAGAUUGUGAUUUAUAAAUUAGGAUAACAAGAGUUUUUGUUGAUAAUAGGAUAACAAGAGUUUUUGUUGAUAGAUGGGUAUUCUUUUAGAGUUUUGAUCAAUAGGGUAUAGUUUUCAAAUAAAUUUUCCAAAACCUGCUAUUUUUAGAAAGUUAUCAUGUUGUUGAUAAAUAUUGUUGAUUUGAGAUUGUGAUUUAGAAAUUAGGACGAGAAGAGUUUUUGUUGAUAGAUAGGUACGCUUUUAAAAUUUUCGAUCUUUUUUUUUAACGAAAAUUUUUGAUCAAUAAGUUAUAAUGUUUAAAUAAAAUUUCCAAACGUACUAUUUUCGGAAAGUUUGAAAUUUUGUAGAUUUGGAAUAGUGAUUUAGAAAUUAGGAUAACAAGAGUUUUUGGUGAUAGAUGAGUAUGCUUUUAGAAUUUUGGAUCAAUAGGUUAUUUUUAAGAAACUGCUAAAUUUGGAAAGUUCUCAUUUUGUAGAAAAAUAAUGUAGAUUUGGGACUGUGAUUUAGAAAUUAGGAUAACAAGACUUUUUGUUGAUAGAAGGUAUGCUUUUAGAAUUUUUGAUCAAUAGGUUUUAAUUUUUAAAUAAAUUUUCCAAAACCUGCUAUUUUUAGAAAGUUAUCAUUUUGUAGGAAAAUAUUGUAAAUUUGGGAUUGUGGUUUGCAAAUUGGGAUAACAAGAGUUUUUGUUGAUAGAUGAGUAUUCUUUUAGAGUGUUGAUCAAUAGGGUAUAAUUUUUAAAUAAAUUUUCCAAAACCUGAUAUUUUUGGAAAGUUAUCAUUUUAUAGAUAAAUAUUGUAGAUUCGUGAUUAUGAUUUAGAAAUAAGGAUAACAAGUGUUUUGUUGAUAGAUGGGUAUGCUUUUAGAGUUUUUGAUCUAUAGGGUAUAAUUUUUAAAUAAAUUUUCCAAAACCUUGUAUUUUUAAAAAGUUGUCAUGUUGUUGAUGAAUAUUGUUGAUUUGGGAUUGUGAUUUAAAAAUUAAGACGAGUAUGCUCUUAGAAUUUUGAUCAAUGGGUUAUAAUUUUUAAAUAAAAUUUCCAAAACCUGCUAUAUUGGAAUGUGAUGAUUUUGUAGAGAAAUAUUGUAGAUUUUGGAUUGUGAUUUAAAAAUUAGGAUAACAAGAGUUUAUGUAGAUAGAUUAGUACGCUUUUAGAAUUUUGAUAAAUAGGCUAUAAUUUUUAAAUAAAUUUUCCAAAACUUACUAGUUUUGGAAAGUUAUCAUUUUGUAGAGAAAUAUUGUAGAUUUGAGAUUGUGAUUUAGAAACUGGGAUAACAAUAGUUUAUGUUGAUAGAUGGAUAUGCUUUUAGAAUUUUUGAUCAAUAGGCUAUAUUUUAAAAAUAAAUAUUGUAGAUUUGAGAUUAUGAUUUUGUAGAUAAAUAUUGUAGAUUUGAGAUUGUGAUUUAGAAAUUAGGAUAUUAUGAGUUUUUGUUGAUAGAUGAGUAUGCUUUUAGAAUUUUCGAUCAAUUGUGUAUAAUUUUUAAAUAAAUUUUCCAAAACCUUCUACUUUUAGAAAGUUUUCAUUUUGUUGGAAAAUAUUGUAGAUUUGGGAUUGUGAUUUAGAAAUUAUGAUAACAAGUGUUUUUGUUAAUCGAUAGGCAUGCUUUUAGAAUUUUUGAUCAAUUUGUUAUAUUUUAAAAUAAAUUUUUAAAAGUACUAUAUUUGGAAAGUUAUCAUAUAGAUCAAUACUGUAGAUUUUGGAUUGUGAUUUAGAAAUUAUGAUAACAAGAGUUUUUGUUGAUAGAUAGGUAUGCUUUUAGAAUUUUUGAUCAAUAUGUUAUAUCUUGCAGAUAUAUUAUCUAAAACCAACUAUUUUAGGAAAUAUAACAUUUUCGUAGAGAAAUAUUCUUGAUCUGGGAUUGUGAUUUAAAAAUUAAGAUAACAAGAGUUUUUGUUGAUAGAUGGGUAUCCUUUUAGAAUUUUUGAUCAAUAGGUUAUAAUUUUUAAAUAAAUUUUUCAAAACCUGCCAUUUUUGGAUAGUUACCAUUUUGUUGAUAAAUAUUGUAGAUUUGGGAUAGUGAUUUAGAAAUUAGGAUAACAAGAGUUUUUGUUGAUAGAUAGGUAUGCUUUUAGAAUUUUUGAUCAAUAGGUUAUAAUUUUUAAAUAAAUUUUUCAAAACCUGCCAUUUUUGGAUAGUUACCAUUUUGUUGAUAAAUAUUGUAGAUUUGGGAUAGUGAUUUAGAAAUUAGGAUAACAAGAGUUUUUGUUGAUAGAUAGGUAUGCUUUUAGAAUUUUUGAUCAAUAGGUUAUAAUUUUUAAAUAAAUUUUUCAAAACCUGCCAUUUUUGGAUAGUUACCAUUUUGUUGAUAAAUAUUGUAGAUUUGGGAUAGUGAUUUAGAAAUUAGGAUAACAAGAGUUUUUGUUGAUAGAUAGGUAUGCUUUUAGAAUUUUUGAUCAAUAGGUUAUAAUUUUUAAAUAAAUUUUUCAAAACCUGCCAUUUUUGGAUAGUUACCAUUUUGUUGAUAAAUAUUGUAGAUUUGGGAUAGUGAUUUAGAAAUUAGGAUAACAAGAGUUUUUGUUGAUAGAUAGGUAUGCUUUUAGAAUUUUUGAUCAAUAGGUUAUAAUUUUUAAAUAAAUUUUUCAAAACCUGCCAUUUUUGGAUAGUUACCAUUUUGUUGAUAAAUAUUGUAGAUUUGGGAUAGUGAUUUAGAAAUUAGGAUAACAAGAGUUUUUGUUGAUAGAUAGGUAUGCUUUUAGAAUUUUUGAUCAAUAGGUUAUAAUUUUUAAAUAAAUUUUUCAAAACCUGCCAUUUUUGGAUAGUUACCAUUUUGUUGAUAAAUAUUGUAGAUUUGGGAUAGUGAUUUAGAAAUUAGGAUAACAAGAGUUUUUGUUGAUAGAUAGGUAUGCUUUUAGAAUUUUUGAUCAAUAGGUUAUAAUUUUUAAAUAAAUUUUUCAAAACCUGCCAUUUUUGGAUAGUUACCAUUUUGUUGAUAAAUAUUGUAGAUUUGGGAUAGUGAUUUAGAAAUUAGGAUAACAAGAGUUUUUGUUGAUAGAUAGGUAUGCUUUUAGAAUUUUUGAUCAAUAGGUUAUAAUUUUUAAAUAAAUUUUUCAAAACCUGCCAUUUUUGGAUAGUUACCAUUUUGUUGAUAAAUAUUGUAGAUUUGGGAUAGUGAUUUAGAAAUUAGGAUAACAAGAGUUUUUGUUGAUAGAUAGGUAUGCUUUUAGAAUUUUUGAUCAAUAGGUUAUAAUUUUUAAAUAAAUUUUUCAAAACCUGCCAUUUUUGGAUAGUUACCAUUUUGUUGAUAAAUAUUGUAGAUUUGGGAUAGUGAUUUAGAAAUUAGGAUAACAAGAGUUUUUGUUGAUAGAUAGGUAUGCUUUUAGAAUUUUUGAUCAAUAGGUUAUAAUUUUUAAAUAAAUUUUUCAAAACCUGCCAUUUUUGGAUAGUUACCAUUUUGUUGAUAAAUAUUGUAGAUUUGGGAUAGUGAUUUAGAAAUUAGGAUAACAAGAGUUUUUGUUGAUAGAUAGGUAUGCUUUUAGAAUUUUUGAUCAAUAGGUUAUAAUUUUUAAAUAAAUUUUUCAAAACCUGCCAUUUUUGGAUAGUUACCAUUUUGUUGAUAAAUAUUGUAGAUUUGGGAUAGUGAUUUAGAAAUUAGGAUAACAAGAGUUUUUGUUGAUAGAUAGGUAUGCUUUUAGAAUUUUUGAUCAAUAGGUUAUAAUUUUUAAAUAAAUUUUUCAAAACCUGCCAUUUUUGGAUAGUUACCAUUUUGUUGAUAAAUAUUGUAGAUUUGGGAUAGUGAUUUAGAAAUUAGGAUAACAAGAGUUUUUGUUGAUAGAUAGGUAUGCUUUUAGAAUUUUUGAUCAAUAGGUUAUAAUUUUUAAAUAAAUUUUUCAAAACCUGCCAUUUUUGGAUAGUUACCAUUUUGUUGAUAAAUAUUGUAGAUUUGGGAUAGUGAUUUAGAAAUUAGGAUAACAAGAGUUUUUGUUGAUAGAUAGGUAUGCUUUUAGAAUUUUUGAUCAAUAGGUUAUAAUUUUUAAAUAAAUUUUUCAAAACCUGCCAUUUUUGGAUAGUUACCAUUUUGUUGAUAAAUAUUGUAGAUUUGGGAUAGUGAUUUAGAAAUUAGGAUAACAAGAGUUUUUGUUGAUAGAUAGGUAUGCUUUUAGAAUUUUUGAUCAAUAGGUUAUAAUUUUUAAAUAAAUUUUUCAAAACCUGCCAUUUUUGGAUAGUUACCAUUUUGUUGAUAAAUAUUGUAGAUUUGGGAUAGUGAUUUAGAAAUUAGGAUAACAAGAGUUUUUGUUGAUAGAUAGGUAUGCUUUUAGAAUUUUUGAUCAAUAGGUUAUAAUUUUUAAAUAAAUUUUUCAAAACCUGCCAUUUUUGGAUAGUUACCAUUUUGUUGAUAAAUAUUGUAGAUUUGGGAUAGUGAUUUAGAAAUUAGGAUAACAAGAGUUUUUGUUGAUAGAUAGGUAUGCUUUUAGAAUUUUUGAUCAAUAGGUUAUAAUUUUUAAAUAAAUUUUUCAAAACCUGCCAUUUUUGGAUAGUUACCAUUUUGUUGAUAAAUAUUGUAGAUUUGGGAUAGUGAUUUAGAAAUUAGGAUAACAAGAGUUUUUGUUGAUAGAUAGGUAUGCUUUUAGAAUUUUUGAUCAAUAGGUUAUAAUUUUUAAAUAAAUUUUUCAAAACCUGCCAUUUUUGGAUAGUUACCAUUUUGUUGAUAAAUAUUGUAGAUUUGGGAUAGUGAUUUAGAAAUUAGGAUAACAAGAGUUUUUGUUGAUAGAUAGGUAUGCUUUUAGAAUUUUUGAUCAAUAGGUUAUAAUUUUUAAAUAAAUUUUUCAAAACCUGCCAUUUUUGGAUAGUUACCAUUUUGUUGAUAAAUAUUGUAGAUUUGGGAUAGUGAUUUAGAAAUUAGGAUAACAAGAGUUUUUGUUGAUAGAUAGGUAUGCUUUUAGAAUUUUUGAUCAAUAGGUUAUAAUUUUUAAAUAAAUUUUUCAAAACCUGCCAUUUUUGGAUAGUUACCAUUUUGUUGAUAAAUAUUGUAGAUUUGGGAUAGUGAUUUAGAAAUUAGGAUAACAAGAGUUUUUGUUGAUAGAUAGGUAUGCUUUUAGAAUUUUUGAUCAAUAGGUUAUAAUUUUUAAAUAAAUUUUUCAAAACCUGCCAUUUUUGGAUAGUUACCAUUUUGUUGAUAAAUAUUGUAGAUUUGGGAUAGUGAUUUAGAAAUUAGGAUAACAAGAGUUUUUGUUGAUAGAUAGGUAUGCUUUUAGAAUUUUUGAUCAAUAUGUUAUAUCUUGCAGAUAUAUUAUCUAAAACCAACUAUUUUAGGAAAUAUAACAUUUUCGUAGAGAAAUAUUCUUGAUCUGGGAUUGUGAUUUAAAAAUUAAGAUAACAAGAGUUUUUGUUGAUAGAUGGGUAUCCUUUUAGAAUUUUUGAUCAAUAGGUUAUAAUUUUUAAAUAAAUUUUUCAAAACCUGCCAUUUUUGGAUAGUUACCAUUUUGUUGAUAAAUAUUGUAGAUUUGGGAUAGUGAUUUAGAAAUUAGGAUAACAAGAGCUUUUGUUGAUAAAUGGGUAUGCUUUUAGAAUUUUUGAUCAAUAGGUUAUAUUUUUAAAGUAAAAUUUUAGAAACUGCUAUAUUUGGAAAGUUAUCAUUUUGUAGAGAAAUAUUGUAGAUUUUGGAUUGAGAUUUAGAAAUUAGGAUAACAAGAGUUUUUGUUGAUAGAUGGGCAUGCUUUUAGAAUUUUUCAUCAAUAGGUUAUAUUUUUAAAAUAAACUUUUAAAAUUGUGAUUUAAAAAUUAGUAUAACAAGAGUUUUUGUUGAUAGAUGGGCAUGCUUUUAGAAUUUUUCAUCAAUAGGUUAUAUUUUUAAAAUAAACUUUUAAAAUUGUGAUUUAAAAAUUAGUAUAACAAGAGUUUUUGUUGAUAGAUGGGUAUGCUUUUAGAAUUUUUGAUCAAUUGGUUAUAAUUUUUAAUUAAAUUUUCCAAAACCUGCUAUUUCUGGAAAGUUACCAUUUUGUUGAUAAAUAUUGUAGAUUUAGGAUUGAGAUUCAAAAAUUAGGAUAACAAGAGAUUUGGUUGAUAUAUGGGCAUGCUUUUAGAAGUUUUGAUCAAUAGGUUAUAUUUUUAAAAUAAACUUUUAAAAAUUGAUAUAUUUGGAAAGUUAUCAUUUUGUAGAUAAAUAUGUAGAUUUGGAAUUGUGAUUUAGAAAUUCGGAUAACAAUAGAUUUUGUAGAUAAAUGGGUAUGCUUUUAGAAUUUUUGAUCAAUAUUGCGAUUUUGUAGGAAAAUAUUGUAGAUUUGGGAUUGUGAUUUAGAAAUUAGAAUAACAAGAGAUUUUAUUGCUAGAUGGGCAUGCUUUUAGAAUUUUUGAUCAAUAGGCUAUAUUUGUAAAAUAAACUUUUAAAAACUGCUAUAUUUGGAAAGUUAUCAUUUUGUAGAUAAAUAUUGUAAAUUUGAGAUUGUGAUUUUGAAAUUAGGAUAACAAGAGUUUUUGUUGAUAGGUGGGUAUGCUUUUAGAAUUUUUGAUCAAUUGGUUAUAAUUUUUAAAUAUAUUUUUCAAAACCUGCUAUUUUUAGAAAGUUUUCAUUUUUUAGGAAAAUAUUGCUGAUUUGGGAUUGUGAUUCAGAAAUUAGGAUAACAAGAUUUUUUGUUGAUAAAUGGGUAUGCUUUUAGAAUUUUUGUUAUGUAGAAAGUUUUUGUAGAAAGUUUUUCAUUAUGUAGGAAAAUAUUGUUUUAGAAAUUAGGAUAACAAGAGCUUUUGUUGAUAAAUGGGUAUGCUUUUAGAAUUUUUGUUAUGUAGAAAGUUUUUGUAGAAAGUUUUUCAUUAUGUAGGAAAAUAUUGUUUUAGAAAUUAGGAUAACAAGAGCUUUUGUUGAUAAAUGGGUAUGCUUUUAGAAUUUUUGUUAUGUAGAAAGUUUUUGUAGAAAGUUUUUCAUUAUGUAGGAAAAUAUUGUUUUAGAAAUUAGGAUAACAAGAGCUUUUGUUGAUAAAUGGGUAUGCUUUUAGAAUUUUUGUUAUGUAGAAAGUUUUUGUAGAAAGUUUUUCAUUAUGUAGGAAAAUAUUGUUUUAGAAAUUAGGAUAACAAGAGCUUUUGUUGAUAAAUGGGUAUGCUUUUAGAAUUUUUGUUAUGUAGAAAGUUUUUGUAGAAAGUUUUUCAUUAUGUAGGAAAAUAUUGUUUUAGAAAUUAGGAUAACAAGAGCUUUUGUUGAUAAAUGGGUAUGCUUUUAGAAUUUUUGUUAUGUAGAAAGUUUUUGUAGAAAGUUUUUCAUUAUGUAGGAAAAUAUUGUUUUAGAAAUUAGGAUAACAAGAGUUUUUGUUGAUAGAUGGACAUGCUUUUAGAAUUUUUUAUCAAUAGGUUAUAUUUUUAGAAUAAACUUUUAAAAACCGCUAUAUUUGGAAAGUUAUCAUUUUGUAGAUAAAUAUUGUAGAUUUGGGAUUGUGAUUUAGAAAUUAGGAUAACAAGAGUUUUUGUAGAUAAAUGAGUAUUCUUUUAGAAUUUUUGAUCAAUAGGUUAUAAUUUUUAAAUAAAUGUUCCAAAACCUGGUAUUUUUACAAAGUUAUCAUUUUGUUGAUAAAUAUUGUAGAUUUGAGAUUGUGAUUUUGAAAUUAAGAUAUGAAGAGUUUUUGUUGAUAGAUGGGUAUGGUUAUAGAAUUUUCGAUCAAUUGGUUAUAAUUUUUAAAUAAAGUUUCCAAAACCUGCUAUUUUUAGAAAAUUUUCGUUUUGUAGGAAAAUAUUGUAGAUUUUGGAUUGAGAUUUAGAAAUUAGGAUAACAAGAGUUUUUGUUAAUAGAUGAGCAUGCUUUUAGAAUUUUUGAUCGAUAGGUUAUAUUUUUAAAAUAAACUUUUUAAAACGUACUAUUUUCGGAAAGUUUGAUAUUUUGUAGAUUUGGAAUAGUGAUUUAGAAAUUAGGAUAACAAGAGUUUUUGGUGAUAGAUGGGUAUGCUUUUAGAAUUUUUGAUCAAUAGGUUUUAAUUUUUAAAUAAAUUUUCCAAAACCUGCUAUUUUUAGAAAGUUUUCAUUUUGUAGGAAAAUAUUGUAAAUUUGGGAUUGUGGUUUACAAAUUAGGAUAACAAGAGUUUUGUUAAUAGAUGGGUAUUCUUUUAGAGUGUUGAUCAAUAGGGUAUAAUUUUUAAAUAAAUUUUUCAAAACCUGAUAUUUUUGGAAAGUUAUCAUUUUAUAGAUAAAUAUUGUAGAUUUGGGAUUGUUAUUUAGAAAUUAGGAUAACAAGAGUUUUUGUUGAAAGAUGGGUAUGCUUUUAGAAUUUUUGAUCAAUUGAUUAUAAUUUUUAAAUAAAUUUUCCAAAACCUGUUAUUUUUGGAAAGUUACCAUUUUGUUUAUAAAUAUUGUAGAUUUGGGAUAGUGAUUUAGAAAUUAGGAUAACAAGAGCUUUUGUUGAUAAAUUAGUAUGCUUUUAGAAUUUUUGAUCAAUUGGUUAUAAUUUUUAAAUAAAUUUUCCAAAACCUGCUAUUUUUAGAAAGUUUUCAUUUUGUAGAAAAAUAAUGUAGAUUUGGGAUUGAGAUUUAGAAAUUAGGAUAAUAAGAGUUUUUGUUGAUAUAUGGGCAUGCUUUUAGAAGUUUUGAUCAAUAGGUUAUAUUUUUAAAAUAAACUUUUAAAAACUGAUAUAUUUGGAAAGUUAUCAUUUUGUAGAUAAAUAUUGUAGAUUUGAGAUUGUGAUUUAGAAAUUAGGAUAACAAGAGUUUUUAUAGAUAAAUGGGUAUGCUUUUACAAUUUUUGAUCAAUAUUGUGAUUUAGAAAUUAAGAUAUGAAGAGUUUUUGAUGAUAGAUGGGUAUGCUUUUAGAAUUUUUGAUCAAUUGGUUAUAAUUUUUAAAUAAAUUUUCAAAAACCUGCUAUUUUUUUAGAAAUUUUUCAUUUUGUAGGAAAAUAUUGUAGAUUUGGGAUUGAGAUUUAGAAAUUAGGAUAACAAGAUUUUUUGUUGAUAAAUGGGUAUACUUUUAGAAAUUUUGAUCAAUAGNNNNNNNNNNNNNNNNNNNNNNNNNNNNNNNNNNNNNNNNNNNNNNNNNNNNNNNNNNNNNNNNNNNNNNNNNNNNNNNNNNNNNNNNNNNNNNNNNNNNAGUUUUUGUUGAUAUAUGGGUAUGCUUUUAGAAUUUUUGAUCAAUUGGUUAUAAUUUUUAAAUAAAUUUUCCAAAACUUGCUAUUUUUAGAAAGUUUUCAUUUUGUAGGAAAAUAUUGUAGAUUUGGGAUUGAGAUUUAGAAAUUAGGAUAAUAAGAGUUUUUGUUGAUAUAUGGGCAUGCUUUUAGAAGUUUUGAUCAAUAGGUUAUAUUUUUAAAAUAAACUUUUAAAAACUGAAAUAUUUGGAAAGUUAUCAUUUUGUAGAUAAAUAUUGUAGAUUUGAGAUUGUGAUUUAAAAAUUAGGAUAACAAGAGUUUUAGUAGAUAAAUGGGUAUGCUUUUACAAUUUUUGAUCAAUAUUGUGAUUUAGAAAUUAAGAUAUGAAGAGUUUUUGUUGAUAGACGGGUAUGAUUUUAAAAUUUUCUAUCAAUUGGUUAUAAUUUUUAAAUAAGUUUUCCAAAACCUGCUAUUUUUAGAAAAUUUUCAUUUAAUAGGAAAAUAUUGUCGAUUUGGGAUUGAGAUUUAGAAAUUAGGAUAACAAGAGUUUUCGUUGAUAGAUGGGCAUGCUUUUAGAAGUUUUGAUCAAUAGGUUAUAUUUUUAAAAUAAAAUUUUAAAAACUGCUAUAUUUGGAAAGUUAUCAUUUUUUAGAUAAAUAUUGUAGAUUUAAGAUUGUGAUUUAGAAAUUAGUAUAACAAGAGUUUUUGUAGAUAAAUAGGUAUGAUUUUAGAAAUUUUUAUCAAUAUAUUAUAUAUUGUAGAUAUAUUAUCUAAAACCAUAGAUUGAGAUUCUAAUUUAAAACACCUUUUCAUAUGUUUCUUUUAGUUUUUGAUCAAGGUGCCUUUUCAGAUGCUUUUAAUUUUGGAAAAAUUUGGAAAAAUACCUUCAUAUGAGUUUAUAUUUUGAAAAUUACACUGCUUAUUAUUGUUUUUGAAAACUACACUUAUUUAUAGAUAAAAUGACCAAAAUACCCUAUUUAAAUGUUUAUAUGUGUUCUAAUAUUUAAUUUUAAAAUGUUUAACAAGUAAAUCCAACGACAAUCAGGUUUUAUAUUUUUCUUUUCUUAAUAAUAAUCUUAAUAUCUAUAUAAAAUCUUAUUUAAAAUUUUAUUCAUGCGACAAUAUAUUAUUAUCUUGUUGGAAAUCUCUGUCGUCACCGUCAUAAUGGAGAAAACUUAUUAACCCCCACGCGAGAAUGUAACCAAUUUUUGAACUUUAAGAAAAAAAAUUAAGUAUCCAUAAUCUGAAACACAAGCUCGACUAGAUCCACUGUUGCUUCUAAACAAAUUUUCCAAAACCUGCUAUUUUUAGAAAGUUUUCAUUUUUUAGGAAAAUAUUGUAGAUUUGGGAUUGUGAUUUAGAAAUUAGGAUAACAAGAUUUUUUGUUGAUAAAUGGGUAUACUUUUAGGAAUUUUGAUCAAUAGGUUAUAUUUUAAAAAUAAACUUUUAAAAACUUCUAUAUUUGGAAAGUUAUCAUUUUGUAGAUAAAUAUUGUAGAUUUGAGAUUGUGAUUUAGAAAUUAGGAUAACAAGAGUUUUUGUUGAUAGACGAGUAUGCUUUUAGAAUUUUUGAUCAAUUGGUUAUUAUUUAUAAACAAAUUUUCCAAAACCUGCUAUUUUUAGAAAAUUUUCAUUUUUUAGGAAAAUAUUGGAGAUUUGGGAUUGUGAUUUAGAAAUUAGGAUAACAAGAUUUUUUGUUGAUAAAUGGGUAUACUUUUAGAAAUUUUGAUCAAUAGGUUAUAUUUUAAAAAUAAACUUUAAAAAACUGCUAUAUUUGGAAAGUUAACAUUUUGUAGAUAAAAAUUGUAGAUUUGAGAUUGUGAUUAAGAAUUUAGGAUAACAAGAGUUUUUGUUGAUAGAUUGGUAUGCUUUUAAAAUUUUCGAUCAAUAUGUUAUAUCUUGAAGAUAUAUUAUCUAAAACCAAUUAUGUUAGGAAAGUUAUCAUUUUUGUAAAAAAAUAUUGUAAAUCUGAGAUUGUGAUUUAAAAAUUAGGAUAACAAGAUUUUUUGUUGAUAGAUGAGUAUGCUUUUAGAAUUUUCGAUCAAUUGGUUAUAAUUUCUAAAUAAAUUUUUCAAAACCUGAUAUUUUUAUAAAGUUUUCAUUUUGUAGGAAAAUAUUGUAGAUUUGGGAUUGAGAUUUAGAAAUUAGGAUAACAAGAUUUUUUGUUGAUAGAUGAGUAUGCUUUUAGAAUUUUCGAUCAAUUGGUUAUAAUUUCUAAAUAAAUUUUUCAAAACCUGAUAUUUUUAUAAAGUUUUCAUUUUGUAGGAAAAUAUUGUAGAUUUGGGAUUGAGAUUUAGAAAUUAGGAUAACAAGAUUUUUUGUUGAUAGAUGAGUAUGCUUUUAGAAUUUUCGAUCAAUUGGUUAUAAUUUCUUAAUAAAUUUUCCAAAACCUGUUAUUUUUAGAAAAUUUUCAUUUUGUAGAAAAAUAUUGUAGAUUUGGGAUUGAGAUUUGGAUAUUAGGAUAACAAGAGUUUUUGUCGCUAUAUUGGCAUGCUUUUAGAAUUUUUGAGCAAUAGGUUAUAUUUUUAAAAUAAACAUUUAAAAACUGAAAAAUAAACUUUUUAAAACUGCUAUAUUUGGAAAGUUAUCAUUUUGUAGAUAAAUAUUGUAGAUUUGAGAUUGUGAUUUAGAAAUUAGGGUAACAAGAGUUUUUGUUGAUAGAUGGGUAUGCUUUUAGAAUUUUUGAUCAAUUGGUUAUAAUUUAUAAAUAAAUUUUCCAAAACCUGCUAUUUUUAGAAAGUUUUCAUUUUUUAGGAAAAUAUUGUAGAUUUGGGAUUGUGAUUUAGAAAUUAGGAUAACAAGAUUUUUUGUUGAUAAAUGGGUAUACUUUUAGGAAUUUUGAUCAAUAGGUUAUAUUUUAAAAAUAAACUUUUAAAAACUUCUAUAUUUGGAAAGUUAUCAUUUUGUAGAUAAAUAUUGUAGAUUUGAGAUUGUGAUUUAGAAAUUAGGAUAACAAAAGUUUUUGUUGAUUGAUGGGUAUGCUUUUAGAAGUUUUGAUCAAUAGGUUAUAUUUUUAAAAUAAACUUUUAUAAACUGAUAUAUUUGGAAAGUUAUCAUUUUGUAGAUAAAUAUUGUAGAUUUGAGAUUGUGAUUUAGAAAUUAGGAUAACAAAAGUUUUUGUUGAUUGAUGGGUAUGCUUUUAGAAGUUUUGAUCAAUAGGUUAUAUUUUUAAAAUAAACUUUUAUAAACUGAUAUAUUUGGAAAGUUAUCAUUUUGUAGAUAAAUAUUGUAGAUUUGAGAUUGUGAUUUAGAAAUUAGGAUAACAAAAGUUUUUGUUGAUUGAUGGGUAUGCUUUUAGAAGUUUUGAUCAAUAGGUUAUAUUUUUAAAAUAAACUUUUAUAAACUGAUAUAUUUGGAAAGUUAUCAUUUUGUAGAUAAAUAUUGUAGAUUUGAGAUUGUGAUUUAGAAAUUAGGAUAACAAAAGUUUUUGUUGAUUGAUGGGUAUGCUUUUAGAAGUUUUGAUCAAUAGGUUAUAUUUUUAAAAUAAACUUUUAUAAACUGAUAUAUUUGGAAAGUUAUCAUUUUGUAGAUAAAUAUUGUAGAUUUGAGAUUGUGAUUUAGAAAUUAGGAUAACAAAAGUUUUUGUUGAUUGAUGGGUAUGCUUUUAGAAGUUUUGAUCAAUAGGUUAUAUUUUUAAAAUAAACUUUUAUAAACUGAUAUAUUUGGAAAGUUAUCAUUUUGUAGAUAAAUAUUGUAGAUUUGAGAUUGUGAUUUAGAAAUUAGGAUAACAAAAGUUUUUGUUGAUUGAUGGGUAUGCUUUUAGAAGUUUUGAUCAAUAGGUUAUAUUUUUAAAAUAAACUUUUAUAAACUGAUAUAUUUGGAAAGUUAUCAUUUUGUAGAUAAAUAUUGUAGAUUUGAGAUUGUGAUUUAGAAAUUAGGAUAACAAAAGUUUUUGUUGAUUGAUGGGUAUGCUUUUAGAAGUUUUGAUCAAUAGGUUAUAUUUUUAAAAUAAACUUUUAUAAACUGAUAUAUUUGGAAAGUUAUCAUUUUGUAGAUAAAUAUUGUAGAUUUGAGAUUGUGAUUUAGAAAUUAGGAUAACAAAAGUUUUUGUUGAUUGAUGGGUAUGCUUUUAGAAGUUUUGAUCAAUAGGUUAUAUUUUUAAAAUAAACUUUUAUAAACUGAUAUAUUUGGAAAGUUAUCAUUUUGUAGAUAAAUAUUGUAGAUUUGAGAUUGUGAUUUAGAAAUUAGGAUAACAAGAGUUUUAGUAAAUAAAUGGAUAUGCUUUUUGAAUUUUUGAUCAAUAUUGUGAUUUAGAAAUUAAGAUAUGAAGAGUUUUUGUUGAUAGACGGGUAUACUUUUAGAAUUUUCUAUCAAUUGGUUAUAAUUUUAAAUAAAUGGGUAUGCUUUUCAAUUUUGGAUCAAUAUUGUGAUUUAGAAAUUAAGAUAUGAAGAGUUUUUAUUGAUAGAUGAGUAUGCUUUUAGAAUUUUUGAUCAAUUGGUUUUAACUUUUAAAUAAAUUUUCCAAAACCUGCUAUUUUUUAGAAAUUUUUCAUAUAUUGUAGAUUUGGGAUUGAGAUUUUGAAAUUAGGAUAACAAGAGUUUUUGUUGAUAUAUGAGCAUGCUUUUAGAAGUUUUGAUCAAUAGGUUAUAUUUUUAAAAUAAACUUUUAAAACUGCUAUAUUUUGAAAGUUAUCUUUUUGUAGAUAAAUAUUGUAGAUUUGAGAUUGUGAUUUAGAAAUUAGGAUAACAAGAGUUUUUGUAGAUAGAUGGACAUGCUUUUAGAAUUUUUGAUCAAUAGGUUAGAAUUUUUAAAUAAAUUUUCCAAAACCUGGUAUUUUUAAAAAGUUAUAAUUUUGUUGAUAAAUAUUGUAGAUUUGAGAUUCAAAAAUUAACAUAUGAAGAGUUUUUAGAAAGUUAUCAUUUUUGUUGAUAAAUGGGUAUGCUUUUAGAAUUUUUGAUCAAUUGGUCAUAAUUUUUAAAUAAAUUUUCCAAAACCUGCUAUUUUUAGAAAGUUUUCAUUUUUUAGGAAAAUAUUGUAGAUUUGGGAUUAUGAUUUAGAAAUUAGGAUAACAAGAUUUUUUGCUGAUAAGUGGGCAUGGUUUAGAAUUUUUGAUCAAUAGGUUAUAUUUUUAAAAUAAAAUUUUAAAACCUGCUAUUUUUGGAAAGUUAUCAAUUUGUUGAUAAAUAUUGUAGAUUUGGGAUAAUGAUUUAGAAAUGAUAACAAUAGUUUAUGUUGAUAGAAGGGUAUGCUUUUAGAAUUUUUGAUCAAUAGGCUAUAUUUUUAAAAUAAAAUUUUUAAAACUGCUAUAUUUGGAAAGUUAUCAUUUUGUAGAUAAAUAUUGCAGAUAUUAGAUUGUGGUUAAGAAAUUAGGAUAAUAAGAGUUUUUGUUGAUAGAUGGGUAUGC